This 869-nucleotide ribosomal RNA is filed under the name uncultured bacterium. Its description in RNAcentral is "bacterial SSU rRNA". It matches the Rfam family "Bacterial small subunit ribosomal RNA", at positions 28 to 896 of the family's 1533-position model. The record is from RNAcentral.
GAUGAACGCUAGCGGCAGGCCUAAUACAUGCAAGUCGGGCGGCAGCGGGCCCCUCGGGGCGCCGGCGAGCGGCGGACGGGUGCGCAACGCGUAUGCAACCAACCGACGGCCGGGGCACAGCUCCCGGAAACGGGAAUUAAUGCCCCAUGCGGCGGGCGGGCCUGAUGGCCCGCCGGCGAAAGGAGCGAUCCGGCGGUCGACGGGCAUGCGUCCCAUUAGCUAGUUGGGGGGGUAACGGCCCACCAAGGCGACGAUGGGUAGGGGGUCUGAGAGGAUGGUCCCCCACACUGGCACUGAGAUACGGGCCAGACUCCUACGGGAGGCAGCAGUAGGGAAUAUUGGGCAAUGGGCGCCAGCCUGACCCAGCCAUGCCGCGUGGGCGAAGAAGGCCCUCGGGUCGUAAAGCCCUUUUCCGGGGGGCGAACCGCGGGGACGAGUCCCCGCCUGACGGUACCCCGGGAAUAAGCACCGGCUAACUCCGUGCCAGCAGCCGCGGUAAUACGGAGGGUGCGAGCGUUGUCCGGAUUUAUUGGGCUUAAAGGGUACGUAGGCGGCCCGUUAAGUCAGCGGUGAAAGGCCCCGGCUCAACCGGGGGAGCGCCGUUGAUACUGGCGGGCUUGAGUGCCGCGGGGGUGGGCGGAAUUCCUCAUGUAGCGGUGAAAUGCAUAGAUAUGAGGAGGAACCCCGAUAGCGAAGGCAGCCCACUGCACGGCAACUGACGCUGAGGUACGAAAGCGUGGGGAUCGAACAGGAUUAGAUACCCUGGUAGUCCACGCCGUAAACGAUGGUCACUAGGUGCGCGCGGUACACGGCGCGUGCCCAAGCGAAAGCGAUAAGUGACCCGCCUGGGGAGUACGCCGGCAACGGUG